CAGGGAGACAACAAAAUGUUUAAUAUUAUUAUUUUGUCACCUUAGGUCGAUCGGUAUCUCACAUUCUUAAUUUAUUAAGAAUUUCAUUUCCUAAGUUUUUCUAGGUCACACCCAUUAUUUUUCCUGGGCCAUUAGCUCAGGUGGUUAGAGCGCACCCCUGAUAAGGGUGAGGUCCCUGGUUCAAGUCCAGGAUGGCCCAUAUCUCUAUGUUGGGGGUAUAGCUCAGUUGGUAGAGCGCCUGCUUUGCAAGCAGGAUGUCAGCGGUUCGAGUCCGCUUACCUCCACUGAUUACCACCUCUUCCAUAAUCAAUAGAAGGGAAAAUGUUUGAGUUGUGAUCGAAUUCUGAACGAAUCUAGCUUCCUAAUGAAAUCAUUAAGAUGCUGGACUCAUUGAAUUUUCAUUGAAUUAUUCAUUGAUUUCAGAGAACCUUGACAACUGCAUAGAUUUUUUUUUAAAGACAAUAAGCACCUUUAAUGAUGCAGAUUUAUUAUUUUUGCGAAUGCAUUAAUAACAAUUCUAUUAAGCUGAUGCUUCAAUUUUUGAAGUUAUU
This 551-nucleotide transfer RNA is filed under the name uncultured cyanobacterium. RNAcentral describes it as "partial 16S-23S ribosomal RNA intergenic spacer". The stretch from base 212 to 284 matches the Rfam family "tRNA". The record is from RNAcentral. Lineage: Bacteria; Bacillati; Cyanobacteriota.